UACGUAGGUGACAAGCGGUGUCCGGAUUUACUGGGCGUAAAGAGCGCGCAGGCGGUCGAUCAAGUCGAGUGUGAAAGCCCCCGGCUCAACUGGGGAGGGUCAUUCGAUACUGAUCGACUCGAAGGCAGGAGAGGGUAGUGGAAUUCCCGGUGUAGUGGUGAAAUGCGUAGAUAUCGGGAGGAACACCAGUGGCGAAGGCGACUACCUGGCCUGUUCUUGACGCUGAGGCGCGAAAGCUAGGGGAGCAAACGGG
RNAcentral lists this ribosomal RNA (253 nucleotides) under uncultured bacterium. RNAcentral describes it as "partial 16S ribosomal RNA". It matches the Rfam family "Bacterial small subunit ribosomal RNA", at positions 524 to 776 of the family's 1533-position model. The record is from RNAcentral.